GGCUGGUUUCAGUGCAGUGGUGUUUACAAAUAAUUGAUCACAGCCAGUAUAGAUUUCUUUAUGUUUUUCCACUGUCACUGGUUCACUUAGCUAGUCUUUC
Gorilla gorilla gorilla (western lowland gorilla) is the source of this 100-nucleotide unclassified non-coding RNA. It matches the Rfam family "Y RNA". From Rfam's summary of the family: Y RNAs are components of the Ro ribonucleoprotein particle (Ro RNP), in association with Ro60 and La proteins. The record is from Ensembl. Lineage: Eukaryota; Metazoa; Chordata; Mammalia; Primates; Hominidae.